UACAGAGGGGGCAAGCGUUAUUCGGAAUUAUUGGGCGUAAAGGGCGCGUAGGCGGCUUUGCAAGUGACGGGUGAAAGCCCUCGGCUUAACCGAGGAACUGCCUGUCAGACUGUGAGGCUUGAGACCGGGAGAGGUGAGUGGAAUUCCCAGUGUAGCGGUGAAAUGCGUAGAUAUCUGGAGGAACACCGGUGGCGAAGGCGGCAUCCUGGACCGAUACUGACGCUGAGGAGCGAAAGCCAGGGGAGCAAACGGG
RNAcentral lists this ribosomal RNA (253 nucleotides) under uncultured bacterium. RNAcentral describes it as "partial 16S ribosomal RNA". It matches the Rfam family "Bacterial small subunit ribosomal RNA", at positions 524 to 776 of the family's 1533-position model. The record is from RNAcentral.